Molecule: long non-coding RNA, 214 nt
Filed under: Lathyrus oleraceus (garden pea)
Lineage: Eukaryota; Viridiplantae; Streptophyta; Magnoliopsida; Fabales; Fabaceae
Description: Pisum sativum (pea) long non-coding RNA (PSAT_LNC033352)
Source: RNAcentral
UCGUCACAUGCAUGAAUAAUAGUCAUUGAAUAAAAGAACACGGAAGCGAAAAGAGAGUAUAUCUGAUCUUGAAGAACGAAUUAAAAUUCUGAAAGUUACUUUGAAGAGAGAAAGACUUUUUAAAGUGUAUCUUUUGUUCUUCAUUUUAUUACGUUCUUGCUGACUAAUAAUCAUUUUGCUCCUUUCAGUUCUUUUAUGUCCUUGCCUAUUUAAG